CAGGUUCACGUAAACACAGCACACAGGUGGGAUGUGCAGCACGAGUGCUCUCUGCUCCUCACAGAGAGGUGAUGGAGACGAUUCCUGAGGUCCAGCAGACGUCAGAUUAUCAGUGAUGUCGUGUCCACAGAGGCUUCGCACACGGACUGUGUAGGUCUGAAGGAGGCUCAAUUUGAAGUCCAAUACAAGACUCAACAAGAGCAAAUAGGAACACUCCAACAACAGCUCCUAGAAGCUCAACACCAACUCAAGGAACAGGAAGACAAACAUAGGCAGGACCAGGAG
Long non-coding RNA from Astatotilapia calliptera (eastern happy), 285 nucleotides. The record is from Ensembl. NCBI's taxonomy places the organism in Eukaryota, Metazoa, Chordata, Actinopteri, Cichliformes, Cichlidae.